GAAGGGCUGCUUGAAUCAGAUGCUAGAUAGUUGCAGUCCUCUAAGGAAAACGGUUCCUACUGUAAAAUGAAAUUCUUGAGCGAUAGCUUGUAGUCGUGUUUGCUGUUAUUCCUUUACUGUGUGCGGGAGGUGCUGCAAUAUAUCAAGGUGCAGCUGUUCCAUGAUCCCCAGUUCGACGGCCAGCUUGAAUAGCCGGCCCAGCACUAUGCACUGUGUGUACAAGCAAGGUAUGGAUUGAAGCAAAAGUCCUUAAACAAGCAACAAGUGAUGACAUGAUCUCAAUUUGCACUACAGGCUGGUCACCUUCUCCAAAUUCUUCAAAUGUUGUGCACUUAAGUGAAAAUGAGGUGGGAAUAUCUCGACAAGCCAUUCUGAUGUGUAUUCCAUUGGUACUUUGUUCUAUGCAUCUCCACCAAAUAACUCUAUUUAGUUGUGUCCAGCUAUUGUAGGUGAUAUCUAAUAUUGCUCUUCGCCAUUCCGCUCUACAUAAUUAUAUAUCAUGAAACACUUCAAGAGGUUUACUUUUUAUUUCUUGGGGUGUUAUUCUUUCCUAAAUUUAGUGUACAUUUUUAUCUCCUUAAAUGUUGGUUAAUAUCAGGAAAUAUGGAUCCAUACAGUUGUGGUUGGUUCUUCGGGAAUUCACAGACAUAUUGUUUAUACUUUGUCCUACAUGUUAUAGGAUGUAGGUUGGUGUUUCAUGAAACUCAUAAUCAGAUAUGGUGAUUAAAACUAAUGGUGCAUUAGUAUCUUAUUAAACUAUGGCCAGUCAACCAUUUCUUGGGAAUAGUGUUAUAUCAUAUCAAUCACUUGCAUCCAAUGGUUUGAGGAGAUCAGAAUAAGGGUCUAAAUAAUGUGCUUGCUUACUAUCCACUUGUACGUAUACUAACAUUGGAGUAUGCGGCUCUGUUCAGCGAUGGCCUUGAUGGAGCUUUUCUGAUAGUCUUGCUGGAUAUCUGAAUUACUACUGAGUGAUGAGUGAUAAGUUUUUGUCCUUUCUGCAAAAAGAAGAAAUUGUAAAUUACUUGAUAUCAUGACUUUUGUUUAGUACGGACUUAGUACAAGAAUGAUGAUUUGUUGCGUUCAACUGUAGCAUAUUUUACCCUCGCUGAUAUAAAUUUGAGGUUGCAUGUUAUAUAAAAAGAGCGCCAUGGUUAUUUGAGACAAUUUGGUAGUCAAAAGGAAUCUGGUGUGGCUGCACUACCACUUUCUAGAUUGAGGUUUUGUGUUUUUGUUUGUUGCAAUUAGCAGCUUUUGAGUCUGUUCACCGUAACAUGAGAUUUAUGCCACUUUGAAUCAGUUAACCAUGCUCACGCUAGGUGAAAUUGGGUGAUUUGCAUUUAUGAUGGUUAUUCUGUGUAAUCUAGCUUUUGCCUUUGGUUUAUGGAAAUGCUAAAAUAAGAAAGCUAGAAGAGUUUAUGUUUCUCAUCUCACUUUUAUUUUAGUGCUAGAAUCAGCCUUUGGGCUUAUUUUGUCCUCCAAAAGAUAUAUGAAGCAAUCAAGUAUUUUCCUGGCAGAGGUGGCAACAUCCGUGUGUUCGAUCUGUUGGCAUGGAGUGUGGCACCUAGGCGGCUAGGCCCUGGAUAUCAAUGGCGACGAGGAGCAGGUGUUGGCCAUCGCUUGUCUGGUAGUGAGACACAUGCGACUGGUACAAAUGUAAAGGCCUCCUUCCUCGCUCUGCAUUCAUGUUGGUUUUUCUUCCCGAAUCAUUUUCCUAUCAAUGUUAUUUUGGCACCACCAAAUUGCUCACCUAGCAUUUUCGAUGAAGUUCUAAAUGUGUUUUACCUUGUGGGUACAGGGAUAUUGAACCCGCUAACUAGAAGCAUUUGGGUAGGUUGGUGCCUAAGGACCCUGUUGAACACAAAAGUAUCCAAAGAUAAUUAGAUAACCUAAAUAUCUUUUUACAAGAUUCAGAAAUCAUCUGCUGCAUCAGCUUUCCCUAUGCAGCACAGUGAACUUACUAAGAAAUUUCAAACUUCUCACAGUCAUGGAAGACACUAAUAUCCUGGUCCUGGAGAUUCUCUUCAUUUGAUGGAUAAGCCUGCAGUCUAACACUGACGGCAGGAAGCCCAAUGACAUCCUCUUCUUCUCCCCUGGUUGUUGGAGGAUGGCUCACAACAGCAUGGAGCAUUUAGCGCAGGCGAUAUUCUUUCUGUUUCUUCUGUUUUCUUCUUUGGUUCUUUCUUCUUUCACUUUAUGGAUUUCAAUCGUUAGUUUGCACAUGGUGAGAUACCUAUUUUCUUGAAUUUUUCUAGGUUGUUUUGUGGUGCAUGCUAUAAUUACUACUACUUUUAGGUUCUGAUUUUCUUGCAGCGCUGAUGAGAUGACACACAUCUAGGAGGAUGCUAAGCAAUGUGGUGAGGAACGGUGGUUGACUGGUUGCUCAGCAUUGGUAGUAGUGUGCCCUCGAAGUUCGACAGCGGGUGUCACUGAUGUGGUAAUGAAGAGUGGAUAGGGAAGAGAAGAGGGCGGCUAUGAGCUCAUGUUUUUUAAUCUUCAUCUAAGAUGAAAUCAUUGUUCUAUUGGGAAAGGAUUAUUUCUACUUCACUGGUUAGGGUCAAGCCAUCUUCGAAGAUGGCUCCAAGGUCAUACGAGCUCCAUUCGGGCCGCUGCUGAGCAGCUGAGACCUCUUCAUUGUGGGCCCGGUGGUUGGCCAGGCUCCGCCUUCUCCAUCCUUGCUUGACGACCUCAUCCUGAGCACAGCGGAGAACAGGUCGCCGGGAUGGAUAUUGCAGCGGCUCGUCGUCUUCUCCCGCAGCUAGCCUUGUCCCUUUGCCUCCCCCUUUGGUUUGAUUAACUAAACGAUAGGUGCACCUACACUUGAUCUCAGGUCUCGCUCUCAGUUUACCUCUAGCAGGCUCAAAUAUUUUUUUCUCUGUUCUUCUUUCCUAACGAACUUGCUAUUUCAGUUCGCACAGGUUUAUUGGACACGAACCCAUACUUUCUAAUCUGAAUAAGGACAAUCCUAGGGGAAGAGAUCCUGAAGAUCCAUGUCAAUCCGGGAUGGAAGAAGGGCAUGAAGAUGAACGAGCAUCGACACACAAUCACUGCGGACCUGGUGUUCAGUGUUCACACAGGAUGGCAAUGGAAUGGUGGUGAUAUAAGAGGUGCUCCUCACAUGCCCUAUUAGUACACACUAUAGACAUUGGACAUGUGCAACCUGACGGUACCUGAUGCCUAUCGGAUAAUUAUUCACUCUUUACUUAAUGCUAAUUAUCAUCGAUGUUUCCAAUUGUAGUAUAUAAAAUAAACAUUGACACAAA
Non-coding RNA from Lolium perenne, 3260 nucleotides. The record is from RefSeq and is a predicted model, not a curated record. NCBI's taxonomy places the organism in Eukaryota, Viridiplantae, Streptophyta, Magnoliopsida, Poales, Poaceae.